UGCCUACGGGCGGCAGCAGUGGGGAAUAUUGGACAAUGGGCGAAAGCCUGAUCCAGCAAUGCCGCGUGAGUGAUGAAGGCCUUAGGGUUGUAAAGCUCUUUUACCAGGGAUGAUAAUGACAGUACCUGGAGAAUAAGCUCCGGCUAACCCCGUCCAAGCAGCCCCGGAAAUACGGGGGGAGCUAGCGUUGUUCGGAAUUACUGGGCGUAAAGCGCACGUAGGCGGCUACUCAAGUCAGAGGUGAAAGCCCGGGGCUCAACCCCGGAACUGCCUUUGAAACUAGGUAGCUAGAAUCUUGGAGAGGUCAGUGGAAUUCCGAGUGUAGAGGUGAAAUUCGUAGAUAUUCGGAAGAACACCAGUGGCGAAGGCGACUGACUGGACAAGUAUUGACGCUGAGGUGCGAAAGCGUGGGGAGCAAACAGGAUUAGAUACCCCGGUAGUC
RNAcentral lists this ribosomal RNA (442 nucleotides) under uncultured Novosphingobium sp. Its description in RNAcentral is "bacterial SSU rRNA". It matches the Rfam family "Bacterial small subunit ribosomal RNA", at positions 335 to 795 of the family's 1533-position model. Lineage: Bacteria; Pseudomonadati; Pseudomonadota; Alphaproteobacteria; Sphingomonadales; Sphingomonadaceae. The record is from RNAcentral.